This is a non-coding RNA of Caretta caretta (loggerhead turtle), 2684 nucleotides long. NCBI's taxonomy places the organism in Eukaryota, Metazoa, Chordata, Testudines, Cheloniidae. The record is from RefSeq and is a predicted model, not a curated record.
AUGAUUCUCCUGCAGUAUAGGUUCUCAACCUAGAGAUCAUAACCCUGCCCUUCCUGUAUUCUUGAAAGUGAGGGCAUUCUAGCUCCAUCUUGGCUAGAUGGCAGGGGGAGGAGUCCUGAUGUAGAAAAAGUUGAGAACCACUGUCUUAGAGAAGUUUCUUGUAUGUCAAUAUUAGUGAUUUCUGUUUAAUUCUUUCAUCUUGCCACUUUUCUUCAUAGCUUUCAUGCCUAAUGGUACCUCUCUAACAGGAUUGGCCACAUCGGGGGUGGGGGAUAGGUGGACUAUUUCAUGGAUUCAAUAAAGGUGUCCAAUUGUUCAGCAACAGUGGCUAUUAAGACUAUUGCUUUUCCUGAAGUGGUAUGUUUGUACAAGGAAGAUUAGGGACCUUAAGAUAGAGGCUGUCAGGUUUUCACAGACUCACCCCUGUCGACACUACAAACAAAUGUCUAACUGCCUCACUUGGGUGUGGAAAAUCCACACGCCUGAACAACGUAGUUAUAUCAACCUAACCACUGAUCUGUAGACAGUGAUAUGUCGACGGGAGGGCUUCUCCUGUUGACAUAGUUACAACCUGCUGGGGAGGUGAAGUACCUAUACUGAUGUUAGAAGCUCUCCCAUUGGUGUAGGCAGUGUCUUCACUAAGCACUACAUUGGCACAGCUGCACUGGUGCAGCUGUGCUGCUGUAAAUGUAGACACUCCCUCAGACAGCUCAGUUUCGACAGAAGAGUGUCUAAAGGUGAAUAUGUGAUGGGAGUUGCUGUAGCUCAUCUUCACACACAAAGAAGUCUACUAUAGAACUAAUAGGUUUUAGGCUCUAGAAACGUAAAAAGGCUAAUAUUAAACUUGUGCCAGUUGUUACAGUAUUAGGGGACUAAUUUUUUAAAAUACAAGUUAUGCACAACUAAAGGCAGUUUGUUGCAUGUGCAAAUGACCAGUUUGGUACAUAACUAGCCCUUUGGGGAGUGUGCAAACACAUGGUUUGGUAAUAUUUGCAUGUGCACAAACUAAGCACACAAUUGUGCAUGUGCUCUUGAAAAAUUAACCUCUAAAUAUCAACAUGUUUCUGCUAUAAGCCUGCAUGGAUAUGUCUUAACAGUGAGGGGAAUCUUAAGGCUUGUAGCAGUUAUGGGUGUGAUUAUGGAGAGUGGAAGGGAAACUGUGACUAAAGCAGGUCUACACUACAGAGUUACAUCAGUAUAACUGGUUUCAGAGUAGCAGCCGUCAUAGCCCUGGUCUACACUAGGACUUUAGGUCGAAUUUAGCAGCGUUAAAUUGAUGUAAACCUGCACCCGUCCACAUGAUGAAGCCCUUUAUUUCGACUUAAAGGGCUCUUAAAAUCGAUUUCCUUACUUCACCCCUGACAAGUGGAUUAGUGCUUAAAUCGGCCUUGCUGGGUCGAAUUUGGGGUACUGUGGACACAGUUCAACGGUAUUGGCCUCCGGGAGCUAUCCCAGAGUGCUCCAUUGUGACCUCUCUGGACAGCACUCUCAACUCAGAUGCACUGGCCAGGUAGACAGGAAAAGAACUGCGAACUUUUGAAUCUCAUUUCCUGUUUGGCCAGCGUGGCAAGCUGUAGGUGACCAUGCAGAGCUCAUCAGCAGAGGUGACCAUGAUGGAGUCCCAGAAUUGCAAAAGAGCUCCAGCAUGGACUGAACGGGAGGUACGGGAUCUGAUCGCUGUAUGGGGAGAGGAAUCCGUGCUAUCAGAACUGCGUUCCAGUUUUUGAAAUGCCAAAACCUUUGUCAAAAUCUCCCAGGGCAUGAAGGACAGAGGCCAUAACAGGGACCCGAAGCAGUGCCGCGUUAAACUUAAGGAGCUGAGGCAAGCCUACCAGAAAACCAGAGAGGCGAAUGGCCGCUCCGGGUCAGAGCCCCAAACAUGCCGCUUCUAUGAUGAGCUGCAUGCCAUUUUAGGGGGUUCAGCCACCACUACCCCAGCCGUGUUGUUUGAUACCUUCAAUGGAGAUGGAGGUAACACGGAAGCAGGUUUUGGGGACUAAGAAGAUGAUGAUGAGGUUGUAGAUAGCUCACAGCAAGCAACCGGAGAAACCGGUUUUCCCAACAGCCAGGAACUGUUUCUCACCCUGGACCUGGAGCCAGUACCCCCCCCGAACCCACCCAAUGCUGCCUCCUGGACCCGGCAGGCAGAGAAGGGUCCUCCGCUGCAUGUGUUUCAAUGAUCACAGGAUCUUCUCCUUCCCAGAGGCUAGUGAAGAUUAGAAAGGAAAAAAAACGCACUUGUGAUGAAAUGUUCUCUGAGCUCAUGCUGUCCUACCACACUGACCGAGCACAGACGAAUGCGUGGAGUGCAGGAAAGCACAAAAUGACCGGGAGGAGAGAUGAUGGGCUGAAGAGAGUAAGUGGCGGGCUGAAGAGAGGGCUGAAGCUCAAAUGUGGCGGCAGCGUGAUGAGAGGAGGCAGGAUUCAAUGCUGAGGCUGCUGGAGGACCAAACCAGUAUGCUCCAGUGUAUGGUUGAGCUGCAGCAAAGGCAGCUGGAGCACAGACUGCCACUACAGCCCCUGUGUAACCAACCGCCCUCCUCCCCAAGUUCCAUAGCCUCCACACCCAGACGUGCAAGAACGCGGUGGGGGGGCCACCGGCCAACCAGCCACUCCGCCACAGAGGAUUGCCCAAAAAAAAGAAGGCUGGCAUUCAAUAAAUUUUAAAGUUGUAAACUUUUAAA